GAUGAAGAACGCAGCGAAAUGCGAUAAGUAAUGUGAAUUGCAGAAUUCAGUGAAUCAUCGAAUCUUUGAACGCACAUUGCGCCCGCCAGUAUUCUGGCGGGCAUGCCUGUCUGAGCGUCAUUUCAACCCUCAUGCCCCUAGGGCGUGGUGUUGGGGAUCGGCCAAAGCCCGCGAGGGACGGCCGGCCCCCAAAUCUAGUGGCGGACCCGUCGUGGCCUCCUCUGCGAAGUAGUGAUAUUCCGCAUCGGAGAGCGAUGAGCCCCUGCCGUUAAACCCCCAACUUUCCAAGGUUGACCUCAGAUCAGGUAGGAAUACCCGCUGAACUUAAGCAUAUCAAUAAGCGGAGGA
RNAcentral lists this unclassified non-coding RNA (348 nucleotides) under soil metagenome. RNAcentral describes it as "partial contains 5.8S ribosomal RNA, internal transcribed spacer 2, and large subunit ribosomal RNA". The stretch from base 1 to 120 matches the Rfam family "5.8S ribosomal RNA", at positions 35 to 154 of the family's 154-position model. The record is from RNAcentral.